CUGAAAAUGCCUAGAUGAGUGUAUUAACUCCAUAAACA
This 38-nucleotide transfer RNA is filed under the name Muntiacus sp. VIE6. RNAcentral's name for it is "partial tRNA-Phe". Lineage: Eukaryota; Metazoa; Chordata; Mammalia; Artiodactyla; Cervidae. The record is from RNAcentral.